CUGAGCGGCGGGCUUGGGAUUCUAGUCUCCUCCUUUGUGACUAUUUGGAGUUUCUAAGUUUUCUCUAGUGACUACUGUGGUGCUUUCUCAGUGAGAGACGGGUUUUCUAAGGCGCCUGCCGAAGUUGAGAGACCCGGCCCCGCGGGGCACGCGGCCCUUUUCCAGACUGCAGGACCGCUUGGUGCGGGGCCGGGAUCCGGCUACUGCUCGGGCCGCCCCCGCCGCCGGCCCGCCCCCGGCCCCGCCCCAGCUCCGAGCCCCGCCCCCGAGUCCCGAGCCCCGCCCCCUAGGGCUGCGGCGAAAACCCGGAGCGGCGGAUUUGCCGCGGCAGCGCCUCGGCAUCCUGCAGGCGACAGAGGCGAGCGCUGCCGGGGGCGGGUUGACGCCACUCCGCUCUCCCUGUCUCUCCUGGUCCCCGGCGAGCCCCGCCGGGGAGCGCCCCGACCCCCGCCGCGGACCGGGCAGCAGAAGCGGGUCAGGACCCGACUGAGCAUGCUCGCCGGCUCGCGGCCGCGUUGGGCGCCCAGGUGGACGCAGCCUGGCCUCCGGGUCUGGCCGCGCGGGGGUGGCGCAGGUGUGCGGUCGGGGCGCAGGUGCGCGGGUCUCGGCCAGGCCCGGCGAGGAGGGGUUCUGGCUCACAAGUGAGUGGAAUUAGAACGGUUAUUUCAGCGUUAGUUUCAUUGCCUCAAGAACUUUCAGCUCGUUUCUCUUUCAGGAAACCCGAGUCCUUCAUUCUUUUCUCCUGUUUUUAAUAAGCAUCCUUGACAAUUGCAUGAGGACACGAAAUUUUCACCUGCCUUUUUCAAAGAUUAGGGCUUUGUCCGCACUCAUGGAUCAUUGUACGGUGUUGUAGUCCUUUUUUUCUUCAGACAGUUCUUCUUUCCUCUGAGACGCCACGUUCUCCAGGACCCUGCAGAAUGCGCUGGUGCCACCUUGGAUGCACUUGAUCUGGUCGUGGGAACUUGUUUAUCGUCUUCCGUUUCGGAGAAGACAGAAAUGGAGAGCUUCCAGGGCAGAGAGUCUACAGGCUCAAGAGGAGUAAACUCAGGAACCCAGAGAGAUGCUUUCAGGUCUUAUGAGCUUCAAGUGCCUGAAAUUUCUGGUUUGCCUGCUUCUCAGUGGAGCUGACGGGUAUGUCUGCGGCUGGGGCUGUGCUCAGUGUCCACGUGUGUCCACGUGUCCACAGUGUAGGAUGCAGUGCGUGAUUAUUCAGCUGCUCAGUAAAGAGAUACGGGGGACAGGACCUCACCUGGAGCCUCAGGACAUGGACACACUGCCUGCUCACACUUCCAUGCACGUUGCCAGGCGUUUACAAUGAACGCAGCUGAGUGCUGAACACUGCCCCACCCCCUGUCAACCCCCUCCAGGUGGCUUUCACCCCCCUCUACGCCACGAAGCUGCUUUUCAGUGAUGCCUGUGACCCCCGUCUCAGUGAUUAACGGAGAUGACUCCCCUCCUUCCCUUUAAAACUUUCUUGGUCGAGCAGAAUCUCAGAAGUGGCUUUUGGGGCACAUGGAGUCCACCAUCUCUCCAGAUUGCCAGCAUCCUGAUUAAAGGAACCUUUCCUUUCCACCAACACUUCUCUCUCUUGAGUGUUGACUUUUGAGUGCUGAGGAGCCAGACCUGAUUGGGUAACCCCAAGUCUCACCUCCAGCCCUGACCUCUCUCCAAACUCCAGGUGGACACUUCCAGCUGCCUCAUCCACGUCUCCAUCUGGGUGUCCUUGGGGUCUUGCCACUCCCCCAGAUGCCUGCGUGGCUAAUGCCCACUUGAGUCUUUGCUCGCCUUCUCAAGGACCAGGCUAGCAUCCUGAUUUCAGGCUGCACCACGCUCCUUGCCAGCAUCCCUACCUUCUCUGCCAGGUGGCCCCACGGCCCUUUGUCCCAUCGAAGAUGCUAUGUGAUGUACUUGUGUAUUGUGUUUAUUACUUAUGGUCAACCUCCCGUGCUAGAAUGUAAGCCCCAUGAUAACAAGGGUCCUUAUUCACUGAUGGGUCACAGACGCUUAGAACUGUGCCAACAAAUAUGGGCAUUCAAAAAUACUGGUUAAAUAUGUGGAUCUAUCAUUUUGUUAAGCAAAAAACAAAAACAAAAACUCCAAAAACAAAGCCAAAACAACAACAAAAAACAACCCAGGGUCAUAUUGUAUAAAUAAACUGCUUUAGC
Hippopotamus amphibius kiboko is the source of this 2165-nucleotide long non-coding RNA. RefSeq lists it as uncharacterized. NCBI's taxonomy places the organism in Eukaryota, Metazoa, Chordata, Mammalia, Artiodactyla, Hippopotamidae. The record is from RefSeq and is a predicted model, not a curated record. The transcript has 3 exons.